AGCUGUUUUAAAAAAUUAACUGAAAGGAGCUGGCCCAUUCAAGGAGCGCAACUGAUGGUGUUGAAUUUUCAUGGACUUUCACAUGAAAAUUAAAAUUUUAGGAAAAUUAGUAUCCUCCAUGGUGAGCCUGACAGCAUUCCAGAACUCAAAGACUUUCCUGAUGCGCUGGGUAGUGACAUUUCAGAAUCUGUGUGUUCUUUACAUUGUCUAAGGAAACGGGCCAACAGCAGGGAGACGCUGUAACUUGGGGAGCCAGUAUUUUGCACAUGAGCACUGUGUGAUAUUACAAAAUCACUUGUAGGUAAAAGAUCCAUUCCGAGCACAAGAUAAGGCGAUACUUUGCUGUAAGGGAAGAAUAAAAUGUCAUCAAUAUGGCUUCAGAGUCCACAUUCCAGCUGACUGGAAUUUCAGAAGCUACUGUCGUCAGAAAAAAUAGCCACGAUUAUCUGAAAAGGCUGCGAAAAAUGUCCUCCUUUUCCAACUCUCAUACCUGGGAGGCAGCUUGGGCUCUCUGAAGGCAAGCUAAAAGGAAGCAGACCAUCUCUGGUCCUGUGUGUAUAAACAGCAAGACUUGGAGACACGGAAAGAUGCAAAAAUGAAUUACUACUUGUCAUUCCCUGCUGUUUCAUGUGAAAUGAAUGAAAUGCACUAUCUUCGUAUGGACACACAGAUCAUGAUAAAAUUCUGACUUGAUAUUGUGUUGUGAACAUCUCAAAAACUUUGAUCCUUAUUCUAGGAUCUCAAGACCUAACACUUGGCAUGAUACAGAAAAGUGGUUCAGAUACUCAGUCUUUCUACUGAGGCUGUCAUUUGUGUGAUGUCCACACAUCCCAGGCGGUGUUCAGGAGAUAGGGUCUCUGGCUCUGGAUGGCCUGUGAAUUAGUGUUGGGAUUCUGUCUGUUGGUGACUUCAUCAGAAAGCUACUAACUCUCGGGGCCAACAUGAACACCAAGGAGAUACCACGUCUCCCAGAUAUAGAAGCACACCAUAGAUCAAUUCUGAUUGGCAGUUCCCACCUGGUGUGGGAUUACUCCAAAGAUGAUUGCUUUUUUGAGGCCUUCUGUGGUUUAUUUUUAAAUGUUAAGUGCUCUGCAAAGAGAGAGGCUAUGCAUGCUUAAACUCAGUCGGACUGUACCCAGUCUUGGUAAUGAUGGGGAUGGUAAAGGUUUAAUUUUUAAAAUUACAGGGCGUAUGUGAAAAACACAUCCUAACCUUUUUUUUUUUUUUCCCCCUAAAGAAUCCUGUUGGAAACACAUUCUCAGAAGAAGGAAUUUGAAAGUCUUUUCAAGAAAACUGGAAUGCCCAUCAAGAAGCUGGGCGGCGGGAGACGCCUCUUCCUGGGCACCCCUCCAGGGGGCCAGUGCUGGCUGCACCUUGGCUAACUCGGCCACCAGCUGGUAGAUCGCCUGGGACGCCAGGUCGUCGCUGACCUCUCCGGUCUCCAUG
Long non-coding RNA from Mustela lutreola (European mink), 1446 nucleotides. RefSeq lists it as uncharacterized. The record is from RefSeq and is a predicted model, not a curated record. NCBI's taxonomy places the organism in Eukaryota, Metazoa, Chordata, Mammalia, Carnivora, Mustelidae. The transcript has 3 exons.